Molecule: small nuclear RNA, 107 nt
Organism: Saimiri boliviensis boliviensis (Bolivian squirrel monkey)
Lineage: Eukaryota; Metazoa; Chordata; Mammalia; Primates; Cebidae
Source: RefSeq, a predicted model, not a curated record
GUGCUCACUUUGGCAACACAUAUACUAAAAUUGGAACAACACAGAGAAGAUUAGCAUGGCCCCUACACAGUGAUGACAUGCAAAUUCAUGAAGCAUUCCAUAUUUUU